This 209-nucleotide long non-coding RNA is filed under the name Brassica napus (rape). RNAcentral's name for it is "long non-coding RNA (BNAP_LNC005787)". The record is from RNAcentral. Lineage: Eukaryota; Viridiplantae; Streptophyta; Magnoliopsida; Brassicales; Brassicaceae.
UGGCCCAAUAGAUUUUACAACAGAUAUCAGUUUUACAGAAGAGGCUCAAUAAGACAAAAUUUAAAUAAAUCCAAAAAGAGGAGAUCACUACAUGUUAACACGUGUUUGUUCCGAGAGAUUUCAAUUCUGUACGCUCAACUCCAUACGUCUUUCAUGCGAAAAUUUAACCUCCGGCCACUGUCAGACUGCACCACCAUGGUCUUCUGCGG